AACCCCUGGUUAGACCAGAGAUUCAGAAAAGCUUACAGCUACGAAACAUAUAAUAAAACUCUUUUUGAUGUAAAAUAAAAAUGAGGUCUGGAAACUGCAAUAAAAACAUCAAAAG
RNAcentral lists this small RNA (115 nucleotides) under Clostridium intestinale URNW. RNAcentral describes it as "STnc490 Hfq binding RNA". It matches the Rfam family "STnc490 Hfq binding RNA". The record is from Rfam by way of RNAcentral. Lineage: Bacteria; Bacillati; Bacillota; Clostridia; Eubacteriales; Clostridiaceae.